AUAUCAAUAAGCGGAGGAAAAGAAACUAACAAGGAUUCCCCUAGUAACUGCGAGUGAAGAGGGAAAAGCUCAAAUUUAAAAUCUGGCAGUCUUCGGGCUGUCCGAGUUGUAAUUUAGAGAAGUGUUACCCGCGCUGGACCGUGUACAAGUCUCCUGGAAUGGAGCGUCAUAGAGGGUGAGAAUCCCGUCUUUGACACGGACUACCAGGGCAUUGUGGUGCGCUCUCGAAGAGUCGCGUUGUUUGGGAAUGCAGCGCAAAAUGGGUGGUAAAUUCCAUCUAAAGCUAAAUAUUGGCGAGAGACCGAUAGCGAACAAGUACCGUGAGGGAAAGAUGAAAAGAACUUUGGAAAGAGAGUUAAACAGUACGUGAAAUUGCUGAAAGGGAAACGCUUGAAGUCAGUCGCGUUGUCCAGGGAUCAGCCUUGCUUCUGUGAGGUGUACUUCCUGGUCGACGGGUCAGCAUCAGUUUCGAUUACUGGAGAAAGGCUUGGGGAAUGUGGCAACCUCGGUUGUGUUAUAGCCCCUUGUCGUAUACAGUGGUUGGGACUGAGGAACUCAGCACGCCGCAAGGCAGGGCUUCGGCCACUUUCGUGCUUAGGAUGCUGGCAUAAUGGCUUUAAGCGACCCGUCUUGAAACACGGACCAAGGAGUCUAACAUGCUUGCGAGUGUUUGGGUGGUAAACCCGCGCGCGUAAUGAAAGUGAAAGUUGGGAUCUCUGUCGUGGAGAGCACUGACGCCCGGCCCUGAAGUUUACUGACGGAGCUGCGGUAGAGCACGUMUGUUGGGACCCGAAAGAUGGUGAACUAUGCCUGAAUAGGG
Molecule: ribosomal RNA, 820 nt
Filed under: Marasmius argillaceus
Lineage: Eukaryota; Fungi; Basidiomycota; Agaricomycetes; Agaricales; Marasmiaceae
Description: Marasmius sp. TL-2022a partial large subunit ribosomal RNA
Source: RNAcentral